GACGAACGCUGGCGGCGUGCUUAACACAUGCCAGUCGAACGGAAAGGCCCUGCUUUUGUGGGGUGCUCGAGUGGCGAACGGGUGAGUAACACGUGAGUAACCUGCCCUUGACUUUGGGAUAACUUCAGGAAACUGGGGCUAAUACCGGAUAGGAGCUCCUGCUGCAUGGUGGGGGUUGGAAAGUUUCGGCGGUUGGGGAUGGACUCGCGGCUUAUCAGCUUGUUGGUGGGGUAGUGGCUUACCAAGGCUUUGGCGGGUAGCCGGCCUGAGAGGGUGACCGGCCACAUUGGGACUGAGAUACGGCCCAGACUCCUACGGGAGGCAGCAGUGGGGAAUAUUGCACAAUGGGCGGAAGCCUGAUGCAGCAACGCCGCGUGCGGGAUGACGGCCUUCGGGUUGUAAACCGCUUUCGCCUGUGACGAAGCGUGAGUGACGGUAAUGGGUAAAGAAGCACCGGCUAACUACGU
Molecule: ribosomal RNA, 467 nt
Filed under: uncultured bacterium
Lineage: Bacteria
Description: partial 16S ribosomal RNA
Rfam family: Bacterial small subunit ribosomal RNA
Source: RNAcentral